Long non-coding RNA from Brassica napus (rape), 5902 nucleotides. RefSeq lists it as uncharacterized. The record is from RefSeq and is a predicted model, not a curated record. The transcript is spliced from 3 exons. Lineage: Eukaryota; Viridiplantae; Streptophyta; Magnoliopsida; Brassicales; Brassicaceae.
CUCGGUAGAUGAAGUUGAAUCGCCUUUCGGGUUGGUUCUUUUUCAUUGCCGGUAAAUACCACCUUUUUCGUCUUCUGGCAUCAUUGUCUAGUGAAACCAAGGCUGUGUCGAUCGACAGUCCUUUUAAUCCACGAUAGCUUUCUCUCGCGAGGCAGACGUACAACUCUUCAGUAAAACAAAAAUAACUUUAGAUCUAACAUUCAGAUGGACCUCAAAUCGGUGGCAGUAGAAAAGUAACUCAAAGCUCUAUCUUGUGUCAAAAUAUGGGUUCAAUCUAACCAUGGGAAGGUCUCCAUCCAUAUCUGAAUUUCGGACGCGUAUGUGCAAUUCUGCACUUCAAAAGCUCCAUAAUCACCAAAGUUCUCUAAAACGUAUCUGAACCUGAAAAUACUCUAAAACAGACUCCAAAUACAUAUAAUAGAAUCUAAAUAGGUCAUAUAGCAUGGUCUAAAAAUGGUAAAAUCCAUGUAUAUCACCGAGCAAAUUAGUUGCACACAACUCUAUUUUUUUUUGCAGGCAAGCCAUAAAUUGACCCAUGGGACGAGAGGAGCUUAGGAAAGGCUUUUGCAGAUUUUCUGUAUUUUUGUCUAACAAGUAGGUGUGUAAAAUGUGAUAAGGUUUUGAUUUUCCGGCCGGAUCUAUAAUAUUUUUUUGGUGUACUUGAAACAUUUGUAUUAUAUGAAUAAUCCGAGUUUGUGAAAAUUUUGGGUUGCCAUGUGGUACUAAUUUUUGUUCAGGCGAACUAACACAUAUCUCAGGUUUAAAAGCCUCUGGCUAUAAAUCCGGUUACAGUUUAAUCUAAUAAAAUUUGUUACAAAACAAAAGAACUGUUCAACUGCUACACAACAAAUUAUAAUUUUAUUGCACUAUACACUACAAUUUCCAUAAAAUAAAUCACCAUUACUUUUUUUUGUAAAAUUAAAAACAAUAUUAAAACCUAAACCUAAAAAUGGUAGAAUACAAAAACCAAAAAUCAAAACUUAAAACCAAAACCACAAUAUAAAAUACCAAAACAUACCAAAAUCUACUUAAACAAUCAAUGCCUAUGUAUUUGGCCGAGAAUUAAUGUCUAAACAAGAAUAUAUAAUUUUGAAAGUACAAUAAUAUGAAAAUAUAGUAUAUAUAUAUUAUGGAAAGUCCAUUAAAAUAAAUUUGAAUAGCUGAUAGGAUGUUAAUUCAUAGUAUGAAAAUAUAUAUAGGUGAAGUCAAGUAUUUGACCAAAACAUGAUAUAAAUGGAUUGAUUUACUUUCCUUAACAAAAACUGAAUCUCGUCAAUUUGAUUAUAAAUAUGUCUUAUUUGAAAGAAAUGUAAAGCAGGCUUUUUUUAUCAAACAGUGAGAAAUAAAACUUUAAGAACUCUUACGUAUUUCAACAUAAUUAUGGCAACCAAGAAGUUUCUAUCUCUUAUAUACUUGAUGGUGUUGGUUCAGAUCUUUCUACCAAUGAUUUCAGGACAAACCAAAGAAUGUUUUCUGCAACAACCAUGUGAAAACUCACCGGCAUGCGAUGAGUUUUGUAAAUCUAAAGGAUACAUACAAGGAGGAUAUUGUCAACACUAUCUUGGCCCAAAACACAACAAUUGUUGCUGUUACCUUGUUGAUUCAGAAAAGUUUUUCAAAUUUGAUGAUACCAAUGUACUCAUUACUAAUUAGUUCAUCAUUGUAGUCAGUGCCAACCGGACUCACAUGGCACCUAUAGCGUACUAAAAAAUAAUGCCCUUUAAACAUAUUAAUUUUUACUAUAUUUCAAAUAUACUAAAAAUUAUAUCAAAUAAUAUCCUUUUAAGUGUAAUAUUCAAGUGAGGUUAUCAACCAAGGAUUCUCUAAUUACUCAAUCAAUACACUGAAGCAAAGAAAGCCAUAUGGCCACAUUGUAUAAAUCAUAAUGGAUUUGAUUCACUGUAUUUUAAGUAUAAUCAUAUCAAUCAUAUACAACACAACAAGACCUAAAUGAAUCAAACACCACUCACACAAAUUGGCCGUCUGUCUUGCGUCAACCUGGACAAUCCUUAAAACCUGCCACAUUAAAUGAGACAUAAGAAACUCUACAAUUCCUUAGUGAGGUGAAUCAUUCCACCUACACGGUUAGUCCCCAAAAAAAUAAUCCCAACAUGAUAAUGAUCCUAAGUCUUUUAAUCGAUGAUGGCUUCCUGAACCAAUCGAUCAAUUCAAUCACUCGGCCUCAUGGUCUCUGUCUGCUAGGUAUGGUCCAUUCUCGAGGGAAGCUCUUGGCAAAUUCUUUCCAUCUGUCGGCUACCUUAACCAAUCGCCUAGUCCCUCAUGGAAACCAAUCGGUUCAUUGGUCUCUCCCAAGCAUACGACUAUACCUAAGGUAUAUAUGCAUAUAGUCGGUUUGAGUAAAGUACAUGAAUGCACCCAAAAAAGUAAUACAUGCAGCCUCAUUGCCUUGUGUACCGAUCAUAAAAUACAAUCAAUCCAACAAAUAAUCCCUGAUUGACCUAAAGGCCAUGACCAUCACUCGGCCAGUAUAGACCCUCGGUUCUAUCCCUACAUCAUCACACUCACCGUAGCCAAUCAGAGAAAAUAAGAAGAAAAAUAAUAGAAUCGCAAAACACAAAGUCACCCUUUUGGUCCUUUCAACAAACAGCCCAACCGCCUCGCCUGACUGUCUCACCAGACUCUACGACCACCCACCAGAAUGGGUCGACCACUCGGUCUUAACCAUUUGCCGGUUAACCCUCUAUCUCUCGCCGAAUUCUCUCUCUCGAUUUCUUUGCUGGUUUUUGAAAAUGGAAUUACGCCAAAGGGGGAAAGUGGCAAUGUGUAUAUAUAUGCAAGGGGGUCUGGUCGAAGGGGCACCUAUGGCCAGGGCCAAACUGGUGCGAAAUUUAUUGUGACCAUUCGCCCAACCAUCGUGUCUCUUCGCCCAUGCAUCGUGACUAUUCACCCAUGCAUUUCUUCCUUUUGCCAAUGCACUCAAACCCCUUCACCCAUGACAGCCCAAUCAUACCUCUAUUCCACUAACCACCUCGGCUAAGUUCUGACCUAGCUUAACUAGCCUGACCCAAUCCACCCUAGCCUAACCGCCACACCCCUCGUUCACCACUGACCAGACCUACCAGACUAUGUACGGACCGCUCACAACUGGUCGCUACCUAGCCCGACCGCUUUAGCUGGUUAGCUAGCUGGGUCGAGCUUGUAAGCUAGCUGGGUCUAGCUGGUCAACUACAUGGUCGAGAUGAUUGAACUACACUGAGCUAACCUAAGCUUCCUAAACUAGUCUAAGCUAACUACACUUAUCCUGAGCAAAAGGAGAACUUUUCAACCCAAGCUUCCAACCCGACCUCUCGACCACCCUUAUGGAGUAUUCGGGUUGAUGGUUCAUUCGAAACCUCGCGACUACGCUUGUCCAUAGGACGUCCAUAUUAUCUUAAUCAGGACAGAGGGUAUUACAGGAGUUAAUAUCACUUCUCAUGAUAGGAGGAGCGACAUUAGGAAGCUUUUCUACAAGCGAGAAGACCUCUUUGAUUCUCUUAGAAAAGACUUCUUCAAGGUAUGUCAUUUCUUUUGAUUUUCUUGUAGUUCCUGCUUCUUUCAUUUUUGUGUUGGUGUCCGUGUCAGAAUAAUCAUCGUCUUCAGUUUUGGUUUUUGGUUUAUGCGCGUGAUAUCGGUCCCUUUGUUCGGUUUUCCAUUCAGUGGUGAACCCCGCUCAAUCGGGCUCUUCCCUAUCCGGAGUAUCCAAGAGCUACAUAGAUCGAACGCAGGUUCAGAACCUGCAUCAUUCUUUCAUGCGGGGUUGAGGGCUGAGUUUUCCUCUCGGAAAACUAGGUUCUCAGCUUUGACUGUGAUACCUUAUGUACGCUCUACUGCAGCUGAAUUGAGUACUCUUCCAUCCUCUCUUUCAAGAUUUGGAUAUUCGAGAUGAUUAAGGGAUUGGCCGUAGGGGUAUUGCUAUUUUCCCGUGCUGUAUGCAUCUUAAAAAUUUGCCCUUUGAUGGCUUUUAGCUCGGCUUGCAAUUUCGUUUCUGAUGUGGUGGCCAAAGAUUGCCCUUUCUCACUUCCGAUCAUUUUCACGUAGUCAUGGUUAUCACCCUCCUUCUAGCACCCAACUCUAAGGGUAAAGCAGGGUUCUUCGUGAUACGACAAAAAUAUGAAGUACGAUAGAAGGAACUCGAGAUAUGGAUCAAAUGUUAUGUUUCUUGAUCUAUAAAGGAGAAAAUACAACUUAUACGCCUUGAAACCCUAGUUUUAGUUUUUCGCUGCUAAUGUUGAGGUGUAGAAUAGUCGACCGAUCUCCUUCUUCUAGGUUUUAGGAAUCUCCUUUUUAGGUUCAUAUAGUCAAAACUAUAUUAGAUUCUUCUAUAUACUUAAGUACGAAAAAGUAUCCAUUUAGGAAGUUAUUCAUUUUAGUUGGAGGUUGGAGAAAUACCCGGCACAGAAGCCAAAAAUUGACGAGGUAUGAGAAUAAGGUCGGUAUCCUAUUCUAAGUUGGAGGAAUGACUUCCUCAAUUAAUUAUCCCCAACAAAACUCAUGAAAGUUUAUUAUUUUUUCUUUAAGAAGAAUUUUUUAAGAAGAAAAUUUAAUCAAAAAUCAAGAAUCAAACACAUUAUAAUUUGUCCUAAACUAUAUUAUACUAAACUAAAUUUCAUGAAUUGGAGCCUCAAAAAAUUUAAUAUAUUAAUGGGGACUACGGCAGAAGCUUUUCAUGGAAUGUUGCAUGAACAGUCCUAUAUGUAUCUACACCCUUUUCAUUAAAUGAUAUUAGCCAUUUUCACCAUGGGAAGGUUCCUCUGCAUGGAAUCUUAUCUUUAACCACAGUUUUAUUCGAAGGUGAAGUUCCAGUGGAAUGGACGGUGGCGCAUGGGUUACUCUUCCACUUGGUGUCUUACCGAAGGAGUCUUGCUUCCUCUUUUCUCAGGAGGUUUCAACAUUUUUGGAGCAUUUGUGUUUCGUGUUUCUCCAUAUCGUUGGCGAAUUCAAUGUUUAUGAAGCAGUCGUGUGUCAGCUUUAUAACUUUGGCGACGGCGUGUGUGCAUGUGUCUGCUUCUCUGUUGUUAGCGUAGAGUCUUUUAUGUCUCCGGAUAGAUUGAGUCACAGCUUCUUCCUCUUUUCCUUUUCCGGUCACCACAUUCUCUUCUUUUCAUUCUUGGAAAUCGAUUGCGACGUUUUGGUUUUUGGUUUUCGUCCCAUGUCUCUUCCUCUUGGUGCCAAGCUUUCGAUUGUUUGGUGCGCUUGGUGCCAAACUACAGUCUGUCAGACCUCUGGGUCUCAGAGGCUGAGCAUGAGUGUCUACUGGUUCUUAUAUCCCUUGUCAUUUGGAUUGCUUGGGUUUUGGUGGCACAGUGUGUAGAAUUGCAUCAUUCCAAGGGUGGAGCCUAUGUUUCUUGUUUUUCCCUAGUGGAUGUUAGUUGCAGGACUUGUGAUGCAAUGCGGCAGCCUUUCAACCCAUCUUCAUCUUUACUUUUGGUAGUGUCGAAUACAGUUACUCUUCGGUUUUGGAUCUUGGUCAAAUUUGUCUUAGGAUUUUGAUGAGUUUGUGGCACCAUCAUCGGUCUUCAUUGAGUUCAUGCUAAGAAUAGGUACCGUUAGCCCUUGUCGGGUUCUUGUAGAGAGACUUUGUGCUCAAAGCAUUUGUGGGGGACCAGGAUUCAUACAUUGUAAUGUCAUUGGGAGACUAGGGUUCUUUCUCAUUGACAUCGUCAGAUGUCCUAACCAAUUUUUUGAUUGUAGAUCAUGUUGUAUAAGAACUGGAUUUUUUUCAGUUCUAGUCUUAUUGUUAUUGUGUUGUUCUUAAAGUCUUUCCAACUUUUUAGGACUUACAUGUUAACUUGUACUAGAUCUUGACCCGAACAACCGUGCGGGUGAUCAAUUUCAUUUUUACACAUAAAUUUAUUUUUAUAUGAUUAGUUGUAUUUAAAUUUAAUAUUUACCAUAUUACUAA